This 438-nucleotide ribosomal RNA is filed under the name Triticum aestivum (bread wheat). Its description in RNAcentral is "partial small subunit ribosomal RNA". Lineage: Eukaryota; Viridiplantae; Streptophyta; Magnoliopsida; Poales; Poaceae. The record is from RNAcentral.
CCGCCCGCAUUCUUCGACGUUAUGGUGCAUCUGCUGGUCCAUAUCGUGGAGGAUAUCAUCCAACUCGGGCCGACGUUCCUGCACAGCAUGAUGACGUUCGAAAGGAUGAAUGGUGUCAUCAAAGGAUACGUUCGCAACAUGUCACGUCUAGAGGGAAGUAUAGCCAGGGGCUUUCUGACCGAAGAGUGCAUCUCCUACUGCACGAAUUAUCUAGGCAUCGAGAACCCCGUUGGUCUGCCCGUCAACAGGCACCUCGGCAGGCUCGCUGGAUGGGGCCACCGUGAGGGUCGCCGCGAAAUGCAUGUCGACUUCGAGGGUCGACUCGCCGACUUUGAAAGAGCAAACCUAGUCGCGCUACAACACAUAGACGUGGUCGAUCCUUGGGUGGUAGAGCACAAAACCUUUAUUGAGAAGACGUACAAUGACCAAGGCCAACAG